This 852-nucleotide long non-coding RNA is filed under the name Marmota monax (woodchuck). Lineage: Eukaryota; Metazoa; Chordata; Mammalia; Rodentia; Sciuridae. The record is from RNAcentral.
GUGCACUUAACGGGGCCUUGGCGAGGUGGAGUAAGGGGACAGUCAGCCGCUGGAAGGGUCCAGGGAAUGUUCGAGUUUAUUCCGGGCCGUCGGGGAGCCUCUCAGAGAGGGCCGGCCCUUCCCGAUCGCGUCCGCCGGGGUCGCGGGUCCUCCGGUUGCGGCCGGGUCUUACAGGCCGGUGGCCGUGGUUCGGAGGGUCCCGCCAGGGGCCGUUUCGACAUAAUUCUGAAGGGCGCGUCCUCGUUUCGAACAUUGUGCGCUUUUCCUCAAAAGCCUUUAAAGUAAUCUUUUGAAAAAAAAAUUUUUUUUCCAGAAGGAAAAGAACUUCCGCUGUCGAGGGCAGCAUAACAUCCCCCUUCCGCGCGGACCUGGCGACCCCGGCGCGUUCCAGUGAGUGCUUGGUGUAAGUUGUCUCCACAGGACUUCUUUUGUCUUUCAAUUGGGCUUUGUCUUUGUGUGGAGUAUAUUUUUGACACAUUUAGGCAGGAAGAUAAAGCUUCUUUUAAAGCCCUUUAGGGUGCACCUGUUCUAUAGGUAGCGGACCACAAACCAUUUUGCCAAGGGACGGAAAGGAUCUGUAGCCCAUUCUCUUCAUUUGAACUUUCUGCUCUGGGCUUCCCCACGGAGCUUCAAAACGGAUCUGUAGGAAGGACGAGGUUUUAUUGCACUAAAGUACUAUCAUAUUUGAACUUAUUUGCUUUCUUCCAGAAAAUAGGAAGCAGGAGACAAUGGAUUAACUGAUUAAGUCUCUAGAGAGAGAGAGAAAAGAGAAUUGACAAAGACUUAACUCCAGUUUUGGCACCAAAGUAAUUUUCUACAUUUGGGAAAAUUAAUAUACAACUCAGUAUAUAA